UUCCAGGAUUUCUAUGUAUCCAACUUUUGUAUUUUUAGGAAAAUAGAGUUUCAUGUUCUGUGUACUUUAAAAGUUGUUUUUGGAGUUGCACAGGAAUACCACACAUGCAUAGAGACUUCCGUUGUAAUUUCAGUUUGGUUCUUAUGCCGAACCCUCAAUUCUGCAGGCUUUCAGUGGGAUCUCUCUAAGAUAAGCUCUACUCCGCAUCAUCGAGGGAUCCAUUCACAAUUGGGACUGUCAAGUGCCAACUCCAGCAAGUUAGCUCGGCUCUCAGUUCUCGGUACUCUCCUAUGACUUGUUUGGUCCAAGUUAGUUAUCGGCACAAUGUACGGGACACUUGUGAUCCAAGGACAUAUUAAUGAACUACUAUACAUUUUCAAUGUUUUUCCCAUCACAAAUAUUUUCAAGGGUGCUGAGGAUGACCAUGGCCAUCUAUACACUUCUCAAAUCCCAAGUAAUUCCACUGUGCUAAGGAUAUAUGUUAGAUUCAGUAGUAGGCACAUAUUAUUUUAUAUAUUGUAAUUCUUAGCAUGUCAGGCCAAUUACUUUUCACGUAUUUUACCCACUCAAUAAUAUUAUCUUGUGCAAAUUUUCGACCUUUGUUGCAAUGCACGGGCAUUUAAUUAUAAAACUUAGGUCAUUUGCUAGAUCUUGCUUCCAUUUAGAGCUCUUGGUAUUGAGAAUUCAGCUCGGGUUUUGAUGUGCUUUUGAUAUAAACUUCAAUUUUCAUAUGAUGCGAAGAGGAAGCGCCCGCACUAUCAUGAAUUUUUUGCGUGCUUGCUACAAGGCCACUCAAUGCAAUACCAUCCCAUGUGAUCUCCAUGCUGCAUAGUUGUCAACAUAGUUACCUCUAUGGCGAGGAGUGGGCAUAACCAUUUUGGGUGUUACUCUAAAUGUUUUCUUCAGUGCACACUAUUUAUUUGACAGAAUGCCCCUGAGUCCAACAAGAAGACCAUUUAUAUUCUGUGGUUAAUAAUGAAGGGUAUUAUGUACUUUGCUGCUACAAUUUUUGCAAACUCCAUAUUCCCUUGGCCUGGUUAUUUUUCUCUGCAUAAAUCCUUCAUGCUGGUCUCUGCAUAACUCCUUUAUGAUACAAUAUGUUUUGCCUUAAUGACAGAAAAAUGUUUUUUCUCUUGGUUUAAACUGACUUCUUGGUUGCGCAAAAUGGACAGAUAUGAUCCAGCACAAUUGAUUUCUAGAUUUUAGUCUGCACAUAGAACACUUGUAGACAGUUGUACUACAAGAACUUGAAGAAAGGCAAGCACAUUCAUAUUUAUUAGUUCUGCCUAUAUGGUUACUUUGCUACAUUGAAUUCAAUCAAAUUUAUCAGUAUCAAACAGUACUGCUGUUUUUCGGUUGUCAUGUAUUUGAUGAAUUGCUCCACCUGAAGUACCUUCUGCCGGCUGUAACAUGAAAGUUCCUUAAUUUUGAUCUUCAGCUAGAGAAUGGAUAAUUAAGCCACCGGUUUGGAGGGGUGACACAUCUUAAAGGAUGACAGAAGAGGUUCAAAACAAUUAGAGAUAAGUUGACGAUGACAGAAGAGGUUCAAAACAAUCAGAGAUAAGGAUAAUCAUUAUCCAGUGAUGUGCAAGUACUGUCAAAUUGGCUAUGAACUGGAGGUGAACAGAGUUGUGGUUGCAUAAAGAAAAGAGCAUCCCUGCCUGGAGAUCAUUGGAGGAGCACCUGGCUGUUUCCUCGACUUGGUAGAUGAGGUACUAAUUCAAAACUGAGUUAGGGCUAAACUGUGGGAGAUACUCCUUCUGUUUUUUUUAUACUUGAUGCUCCCGACCGGUUUGAGAAAAUUAAGGUAUCGAUCGUUUUACUGUAUUGCCCUCAUUCUUCUACCCAAUUCACAUGUUCCCCGCUCCGUCAUGCUUUCCUCGCUUCUCCUGUCACACCGUGCACCACCGCCGCCAUCCACGCACCCCGUGCGCCGCCCGCCGCCUCUGCCUUCAUCCACACACCGCCGUGCGGGCUCACACCCAUUGUGUAGGGGUUCCUGUGGGAGGGCGCCAAGGACGCUGGUGGCAGCGACCAGGGUGAUGAGGCUGGUGGAUGCGUACCUGACGAAGUAGCAACCAGAGGAAUUUGUUCAUGACAACCCUACAAUCUGAGGCUACGCAAGGAGGGUUGGAUGUUCAAGAACCAGGAGGGCAGAGGAGUAUGCAGAUGGAACCAAGAGAUCCUGCGGCUUCAACUAGCUCAUCCGUAAUGAAGUCGUCAUUGCUAAAACGGAAACCCUCGGGUGCAAAUGUGUUAAAACCCCCAACAACGAAAAUGAAGUCCCCUUGUGCAAAUAUGCCAAUUUUUAGAUCUCCACUGAGCAAGAUGUUGCUAUCACCAAGGAUGCAUCUAUCUCCAGUGCUGAGGUCUCCUUCUAUGAGAUGUGGGAUCAUUGUCGUCAUCUGUAAGAUCUUUAUCUCCGGUGGUGGAAAGAAUAGUGACCUCUCAUGAUUUUGUCCAAGUUCUUGCUAAUAUAAUUUGUGGAGGUCGAAGAGUACUAGGAGAUACUGAUUUCAAUGCGCCAUCAAGUUUCGAAGGUUGAAGGGCAAUUGAUGAUAUUGAUUUGAAUGUGGAACCAACAAAAGAGUUGAUGAUAGGUUUGAAUCAUGAUUUUGGGGUUCCAGUUGUUAAUAAAAAAUGCUCCAAAUGCUCAAGAGAAUGCACAUAGGAAUGAAGUGUCAAAUGAUAAACGAAGAGCGAUAUUUGAGGCUUUACUAGCAAGAGCCAACAAUGGUAACUUGAAGGGCCAGGAGACAAGGGAAGUUUAUGUAGCAUUUUCGGUACCCAUCUGGACAAUACAACAUAUUUGGAAAUAAGGUAAAAAAGUUGUCUA
Long non-coding RNA from Phragmites australis (common reed), 2836 nucleotides. RefSeq lists it as uncharacterized. The transcript has 6 exons. The record is from RefSeq and is a predicted model, not a curated record. NCBI's taxonomy places the organism in Eukaryota, Viridiplantae, Streptophyta, Magnoliopsida, Poales, Poaceae.